AUGUUGCAGCACCUCGAUCUGAAGGACGAGGAGCUGGAUGAUGUGAUAGUAGGGGAAGAGGAGGUUAAGAAGUUUGAGGCAGAGGCACGAUGGAUGGCGAUCGGUAAGCUGAACACGACGCGUCCCUUUAGCUCCUCGGCGAUGUUUGAAACUUUAAAAUCAGUAUGGGGACUAGCGCAUGUGCCGAAGUACAGAGAGGCUGGAGACAACCUUUUUGUGUUCCAGAUGUUUUGCUUGGGUGAUUGGAAGAAGGUCGUUCAUGGCGGCCCAUGGCUGUUCAAGGGGAUGGGGUUGCUAAUCGAGGACUAUGAUGGCAAGACAGACCCAGCAUCGGUGGUCUUUGAUGGACUGUACGUGUGGGCACAAAUUCACAAUAUCCCCGAUUUAUACCGCAAGGUUGAAGUGGUGGAUCAGCUUGCUCGCCGCAUAGGCCGUGUGAAGGAGACUCAACUCGCUCCCAAGUUAUAUUACAAGGGAGAC
RNAcentral lists this ribosomal RNA (480 nucleotides) under Triticum aestivum (bread wheat). RNAcentral's name for it is "partial small subunit ribosomal RNA". Lineage: Eukaryota; Viridiplantae; Streptophyta; Magnoliopsida; Poales; Poaceae. The record is from RNAcentral.